CGGGAGGCAGCAGUGAGGAAUAUUGGUCAAUGGGCGCAAGCCUGAACCAGCCAUCCCGCGUGCAGGAAGACGGCCCUAUGGGUUGUAAACUGCUUUUCCAGGGAGAGAAACUUACGUAC
RNAcentral lists this ribosomal RNA (119 nucleotides) under uncultured bacterium. Its description in RNAcentral is "partial 16S ribosomal RNA". It matches the Rfam family "Bacterial small subunit ribosomal RNA", at positions 342 to 459 of the family's 1533-position model. The record is from RNAcentral.